AAACAAGGCAGAUCAUAAUCUUUAAUUGUUUUAGAUUUUGAUUUAUGUAGAGAAAAUGAUGCAAAGUUUUGAGAUGACCAAGAUGAAGUGCAGUAUGAUGAUAGCUUUAAAGAGCUUGAAUCAUAUGCAGUUCUAAAGAAUUGUAUCCAUGAUUUACCAGAGAAUUUUAAAGGAUUACGAUGGGAAUCUUCUAAAACUAAAGGAUUUUGAAGGGAUUUUUCCGAAAUUAAAGGAUUGCGAACGGAACUUGUAAAAUACGUAGCUUGCGUGGUUACUCUAUUUAAUUUAUCUUCUCUCGAUAAAGUUUAGUAUAUUCUCUUUAAGAAGUGGCUUUAUCUAUGUGUUCUUUAAUUAAAUACUAUUUGUUUAUACCAUACUUA
Molecule: non-coding RNA, 380 nt
Organism: Malus domestica (apple)
Lineage: Eukaryota; Viridiplantae; Streptophyta; Magnoliopsida; Rosales; Rosaceae
Source: RefSeq, a predicted model, not a curated record